This 292-nucleotide ribosomal RNA is filed under the name uncultured bacterium. RNAcentral describes it as "partial 16S ribosomal RNA". It matches the Rfam family "Bacterial small subunit ribosomal RNA", at positions 505 to 796 of the family's 1533-position model. The record is from RNAcentral.
GUGUCAGCCGCCGCGGUAAGACGAACCGUACGAACGUUAUUCGGAAUCACUGGGCUUAAAGGGUGCGUAGGCUGUGCGGAAAGUUGGGUGUGAAAUCCCUCGGCUUAACCGAGGAACUGCGCCCAAAACUACCGUGCUCGAGGGAGACAGAGGUGAGCGGAACUUAGGGUGGAGCGGUGAAAUGCGUUGAUAUCCUAAGGAACACCGGUGGCGAAAGCGGCUCACUGGGUCUCUUCUGACGCUGAGGCACGAAAGCUAGGGGAGCGAACGGGAUUAGAUACCCUCGUAGUCC